RNAcentral lists this long non-coding RNA (1438 nucleotides) under Eptatretus burgeri (inshore hagfish). Its description in RNAcentral is "lncRNA (ENSEBUG00000017097.1)". Lineage: Eukaryota; Metazoa; Chordata; Myxini; Myxiniformes; Myxinidae. The record is from RNAcentral.
AACGUCACGUGUUUGUGUCUACUGUGUUGACCCGUUCACACACAGGCUUCGAUCGACACCAUGCGGUCCUCUGUGGUAUUUCUCCUGGGAUUAUUUGGAUAUUUAAAUUUUCCUUGGAAAUGUAACAAUGUUCAACGUGAAGGUUAUCAAGAACCAUCGAUCGUCAUCUCGAAAACUCUGGAACAACCUCCAAUGGUUCCUUUUCAGGAGAAGGUUCCCAAGACCUGCUCUCUGAAGGAACUUCCGACAUGGACCCGCUUGAGGCAUCCAUCCCUAUGUUGGAUGUCUUGGGCAACAGAAUUGAACGGAAACCAAUCAAUACAUGGGAACGAUCAAUCUGAGCAGAACAUAUUGAAAGACAAUCUGCGGACAAAUUUGAUGGAAAGAACCUCUGGAAGCAAAACCUUACAAGAACCUGUUCCUCAUGAGAAUGAAGACAUCAACAUCUGCCCGAUGGAUCCUUCACUGUCGAUCUGCCUGAGGGUUCCUCUUCGACGAAUGUAUUCAGUGAAGGAAUUUGAUGGGAAACCAUCAAUGUACUUGGAUGAUCGGUCAGAGCAGAACAUGUUGAAAGACAAUCUACUGCCAAACUUGAUGGAAAGAACCUCAGGAGGCAAACCCUCACAGGAGCCUGUUCUUCAUGAGAAUGAAGACGUCAACACCUGCCCGAGGGAUCCUUCACUAUGGACCCGCCCGAGGGGUCCUCCACGACGACAAAAGUCUCCAGUGAAGGAAUAUAAUGGGAAACCUUCAAUGAACCUGGUUGAUCGGUCUGAGCAGAUCAUGUUGAAAGACAAACUACUGCCGAACUUGUUGGAUAGAACCUCAGGGACCAAAACCUCACAGGUUCCUCAUGAGAGUGAAGUUCCCAACAUGUUUCUGUUAAAUUCUCUGAUAAAGAAACCCCCGAGGCGAACUCCAUCAACAUUAAAGUUUCCAACAACGGAGCUUUCCAGAAAUGGGAAUGGAAACCUGGAGAAAGGUUCUGCACCAGACUGUCUGGAGUGCAAGGAAAGCGAUGUUGACAUGGUCCACCUGGAGCAUGAGGAAAAGGUGGUGGUGGUGGUGGUGGAUCCUUUUUUGGAAAUCCUGUUUCUGGUGCUGAUGGCUUCUCUUGCAAGCCUCUUCAUGAUGAAUUCACCAAAGAGAUUGUUCAGGAUCUUCACGUCACCAAAGCGGAAUCAUCGGAAGGGGAAGAAGGGUUGGAGGCACUGGAAAUGGCGAAAUAGAUGGAAGACAAACAAAAUGCACGUGCCAUAAAUGGGGGCAUGGAUAACAUAGACUGGAGAUAGAAAUUAUUUAAACUGUAGACCGGAAUGAUUUCGAUUGCAGACAGAAAUGAUGUAGAAGACUGCAAACAGGAAUGAUUCAGAUUGUACAUUGAGAUGAUUGUGAGUGUAAAUUAUAUACUUUGUGGUGAAUAAAAAUAAAUAUUAUA